GGCGGACGGGUGAGUAACGCGUGAGAAUCUGGCUUUAGGUCUGGGACAACCACUGGAAACGGUGGCUAAUACCGGAUGUGCCGAAAGGUGAAAGGUUAACUGCCUGAAGAUGAGCUCGCGUCUGAUUAGCUAGUUGGUGUGGUAAGAGCGCACCAAGGCGACGAUCAGUAGCUGGUCUGAGAGGACGAUCAGCCACACUGGGACUGAGACACGGCCCAGACUCCUACGGGAGGCAGCAGUGGGGAAUUUUCCGCAAUGGGCGAAAGCCUGACGGAGCAAUACCGCGUGAGGGAGGAAGGCUCUUGGGUCGUAAACCUCUUUUCUCAGGGAAGAACACAAUGACGGUACCUGAGGAAUAAGCAUCGGCUAACUCCGUGCCAGCAGCCGCGGUAAUACGGAGGAUGCAAGCGUUAUCCGGAAUGAUUGGGCGUAAAGCGUCCGCAGGUGGCUGUGUAAGUCUGCUGUUAAAGAGUCUAGCUCAACUAGAUAAGAGCAGUGGAAACUACACGGCUAGAGUACGUUCGGGGCAGAGGGAAUUCCUGGUGUAGCGGUGAAAUGCGUAGAGAUCAGGAAGAACACCAGUGGCGAAGGCGCUCUGCUAGGCCGUAACUGACACUGAGGGACGAAAGCUAGGGGAGCGAAUGGGAUUAGAUACCCCAGUAGUCCUAGCCGUAAACGAUGGAUACUAGGCGUGGCUUGUAUCGACCCGAGCCGUGCCGUAGCUAACGCGUUAAGUAUCCCGCCUGGGGAGUACGCCGGCAACGGUGAAACUCAAAGGAAUUGACGG
Molecule: ribosomal RNA, 787 nt
Filed under: uncultured bacterium
Lineage: Bacteria
Description: bacterial SSU rRNA
Rfam family: Bacterial small subunit ribosomal RNA
Source: RNAcentral